AGACACGAGCAUGCGUAACGAUUGCUCUGGAUUUGCGUGACAGAACGUCUCGUUUCGUUCGGCCUAUUUGUUGGCGCUUAAGUUUUCUUGCAUGUCAAACUUCCCAUGGAUGUUUGGCAAAUUCAGAUGAAAGUGGAGUUGGGUUGGGAGUCGGGACAGAUGAACUUGGGUUUGUACAUCAGUAAAACAGUCAACGGGCGAAGAUAGGAAGGCACAGCUAACCAUUUGGAACACAAGGUGUUGGCAUAUUCCUGGUGAAUAAGCUCAGUCAGAUAAAGAAAUGGUCUAGAGACGGAAGAGGCAUACCAGCUCACGUUCCCGGCAAAGAUGCUUACAUAUCAUCCAACGAUACCUAGAAGACCCGCUUCUCAUCGGAGGCAAGAAAUUCGACCUUCGUC
Long non-coding RNA from Corticium candelabrum, 398 nucleotides. RefSeq lists it as uncharacterized. The record is from RefSeq and is a predicted model, not a curated record. NCBI's taxonomy places the organism in Eukaryota, Metazoa, Porifera, Homoscleromorpha, Homosclerophorida, Plakinidae. The transcript is spliced from 4 exons.